This 1019-nucleotide long non-coding RNA is filed under the name Fukomys damarensis (Damara mole-rat). RNAcentral's name for it is "lncRNA (ENSFDAG00000032275.1)". Lineage: Eukaryota; Metazoa; Chordata; Mammalia; Rodentia; Bathyergidae. The record is from RNAcentral.
GGGGAGAAGCACAGACAGGUUUGAGCUUUGCAGGGCCCCUGUGACCUCUGUUACGGGUAGGAAGUUGGAGUACAGUCACGGAUGAAAUCCUCUCUUCCCAGAUGUCCCUGGAGAGCUGUGCAGGGGAGUCCAGUGCCUCACACUCUCCCAGCCUGCUGGAGGAGGAGGAUACUGGGCCCUUGGCCCCGCAACCACAAAACACCAGAUCGACUGACAAGGAGCCCCUCGGUUCCCUCGGCCUCUCCCACAAGGCCCCGGUGGCCUCGGAGUGCCUGCCUUUCUUCCGCACCUGUGAGUGGCUCCUGGCUGAAGAGAAAGCCCUGCAGACUGAGAUUUUCGUGGACCAAGGAGGGCAGAGGGCCCGGCAGGCAUCAUUUCUGGAGGAUUUGGCGCCACCCAGUGGCUUCCUUCCUUACUAUCGCUCGGAGAAAGACAUUCUCCCCUGCCGGAUCCUUCCUGGCCAGGGGCACGGGGGCUCCCACGACUCACUCCCCAGUGAGAAGGCACAGGAGGACUGCUGCUGCAAGCUGACAGCCAAGGAUGGGUGUCCUGCUUCUGCUGCAGGCUCAGAUGUCACCUCCAGGUCCUCACACUCACUAGUCUCAGCAGGGAGCUCCCAGGACGGCAGUCUGGAUAAUCCUCCCUGCAGGGACCAAGCCCUUCAUGCCCCAGGAUUUGUGCCUUACUACAGGAGCCCAGAGGAGGAGUUGCACACCAGCCUGCAGCCUUCGGCCUCACUGUCUGGGAGAGACCAGGACCUGAUCGAGAAUGAGUCCUAGCACCCAGUUCUCAGCAAGAGCAGAAGGUGGAUGGAGCUUGAAAACCUGCCCAACAAGGAGUAAGCAGCCGCACCUGAAGUGGUUCCGCCGAGGAAUGCCUGUCUGGUCCAGCACUGAAGCCUAGACAGUCCCUUCUGUAGCCUGCCCUAGGCUGGGAACCAAGGGACGGGGCUGCCUGAGCAACAGAGGGGCAAAGAUGCCCGGAGAUUGGUCUCAUAAAUAAACCAUAGCGCUACAAGG